This 209-nucleotide long non-coding RNA is filed under the name Elaeis guineensis (African oil palm). RNAcentral's name for it is "long non-coding RNA (EGUI_LNC060721)". The record is from RNAcentral. Lineage: Eukaryota; Viridiplantae; Streptophyta; Magnoliopsida; Arecales; Arecaceae.
UAAUCAAAUUAGGUAAAUGAUAAUUUGAUUAACCUAAAUUAAACAUGAUUUCUAAUUAAAAUAGAAUCAUAAAUUUGAUUUAAUCAUUAAUUCUAAUCACAUUAGAACAAUGAAUUAUAGUUAAAUAAAUCCAUCGAUAAAAAUUCUAAUCCAUGUCUGAUACUUUCUUUCCAUAAUCAAAUUUUAUCGGCUCCACACAUACCUCGGGC